AGAGUUUGAUCCUGGCUCAGGACGAACGCUGGCGGCGUGCUUAACACAUGCAAGUCGAACGAUGAAGCCUUCGGGUGGAUUAGUGGCGAACGGGUGAGUAACACGUGGGAAAUCUGCCCUGCACUCUGGGACAAGCCUUGGAAACGAGGUCUAAUACCGGAUAUUACCUGUCCUCGCAUGGGGAUGGGUGGAAAGCUCCGGCGGUGCAGGAUGAUCCCGCGGCCUAUCAGCUUGUUGGUGGGGUAAUGGCCUACCAAGGCGACGACGGGUAGCCGGCCUGAGAGGGCGACCGGCCACACUGGGACUGAGACACGGCCCAGACUCCUACGGGAGGCAGCAGUGGGGAAUAUUGCACAAUGGGCGAAAGCCUGAUGCAGCGACGCCGCGUGAGGGAUGAAGGCCUUCGGGUCGUAAACCUCUUUCAGCAGGGAAGAAGCGCAAGUGACGGUACCUGCAGAAGAAGCACCGGCUAACUACGUGCCAGCAGCCGCGGUAAUACGUAGGGUGCGAGCGUUGUCCGGAAUUAUUGGGCGUAAAGAGCUCGUAGGCGGCUUGUCGCGUCGGAUGUGAAAGCCCGGGGCUUAACCCCGGGUCUGCAUUCGAUACGGGCAGGCUAGAGUGUGGUAGGGGAGAUCGGAAUUCCUGGUGUAGCGGUGAAAUGCGCAGAUAUCAGGAGGAACACCGGUGGCGAAGGCGGAUCUCUGGGCCAUUACUGACGCUGAGGAGCGAAAGCGUGGGGAGCGAACAGGAUUAGAUACCCUGGUAGUCCACGCCGUAAACGGUGGGAACUAGGUGUUGGCGACAUUCCACGUCGUCGGUGCCGCAGCUAACGCAUUAAGUUCCCCGCCUGGGGAGUACGGCCGCAAGGUAAAACUCAAAGGAAUUGACGG
This 890-nucleotide ribosomal RNA is filed under the name Kitasatospora sp. E2R18_pA. RNAcentral's name for it is "bacterial SSU rRNA". It matches the Rfam family "Bacterial small subunit ribosomal RNA", at positions 8 to 916 of the family's 1533-position model. Lineage: Bacteria; Bacillati; Actinomycetota; Actinomycetes; Kitasatosporales; Streptomycetaceae. The record is from RNAcentral.